UGCCAGCCGCCGCGGUAAUACAGAGGGUGCAAGCGUUAAUCGGAGUGACUGGGCGUAAAGGGCGUGUAGGCGGAUAUUUAAGUUGAUUGUGAAAGCCCUGGGCUUAACCUGGGAAUGUCGGUCAAUACUGGAUAUCUUGAGUCUGGAAGAGGGAAGUGGAAUUUCCGGUGUAGCGGUGAAAUGCGUAGAUAUCGGAAAGAACACCAGCGGCGAAGGCGGCUUCCUGGUCCAAGACUGACGCUGAGGCGCGAAAGCGUGGGUAGCAAACAGGAUUAGAUA
This 279-nucleotide ribosomal RNA is filed under the name uncultured bacterium. Its description in RNAcentral is "partial 16S ribosomal RNA". It matches the Rfam family "Bacterial small subunit ribosomal RNA", at positions 506 to 784 of the family's 1533-position model. The record is from RNAcentral.